GGAGUCACGCCAGAAAUCUUACCCGGAGAGACAGCAGAAUGAAGGUCAAGCUGAAGACUUUACCAGACAAGCUGAGAGGUGGUGCAUGGCCGUCGCCAGCUCGUGCCGUGAGAUGUCCUGUUAAGUCAGGUAACGAGCGAGAUCCCUGCCUCUAGUUGCCACCAUUACUCUCAGGAGUAGUGGGGCGAAUUAGCGGGACCGCCGCAGUUAAUGCGGAGGAAGGAAGGGGCCACGGCAGGUCUGUAUGCUCCGAAACUCUGGGGCCACACGCGGGCUGCAAUGGUAGCGACAAUUGGUUUCGAAUCCGAAAGGAUGAGGUAAUCCACAAACGCUACCACAGUUAUGACUGAGGGCUGCAACUCGCCCUCACGAAUAUGGAAUCCCUAGUAACUGCGUGUCAUUAUCGCGCGGUGAAUACGUCCCUGCUCCUUGCACACACCGCCCGUCGUUUCAUUGAAGUGAGCUUUUAGCGAGGUGACGUCUAAUUGGCGUUAUCGAACUUGAGGUUCGUGACAAGGGAAAAGUCGUAACAAGGUGACCGUAGGGGAACCUGCGGUCGGAUCA
Molecule: ribosomal RNA, 564 nt
Filed under: uncultured crenarchaeote
Lineage: Archaea; Thermoproteati; Thermoproteota
Description: bacterial SSU rRNA
Rfam family: Archaeal small subunit ribosomal RNA
Source: RNAcentral